AUACAAGAAAUUAAUAUGCCACCCCAUUUAUUUUGGCAUUUAUGCGGAGAAGUCCUUCUGGUUUACUCCUUUAAAAUUUCUUACCAAUUUACACAUGUCCCUUUAUUUUUGUGCCAUCAGAUGGUGCCUUGGGAUAAGUGGGCAUGGAAGAGAAGGAGGAGUCCUUCUCUUGAAAGAAACUUCAUGCCAAAAUUUAUUUGGGAUGCCCCUUCUUUUAUGCAUU
This 223-nucleotide long non-coding RNA is filed under the name Elaeis guineensis (African oil palm). RNAcentral's name for it is "long non-coding RNA (EGUI_LNC040215)". The record is from RNAcentral. Lineage: Eukaryota; Viridiplantae; Streptophyta; Magnoliopsida; Arecales; Arecaceae.